Long non-coding RNA from Gopherus flavomarginatus (Mexican gopher tortoise), 1231 nucleotides. RefSeq lists it as uncharacterized. The transcript is spliced from 2 exons. The record is from RefSeq and is a predicted model, not a curated record. Lineage: Eukaryota; Metazoa; Chordata; Testudines; Testudinidae.
UAAUGAUAUAUGUAGGGUGACCAGAUGUCCCAAUUUUAUAGGGACAGUCCCAAUUUUUGGGUCUUUUUCUUAUACAGGCUCCUAUUACCCCCCCCUCCCCCGCACCCUGUGUCCUGAUUUUUCACAAUUCCUGUCUGGUCACCUUAGAUAUAUGGUGUGAAGGGCAGAAUGCAAUACUAAAUGGGAACAAACUCACCCCAUACUAAAGUCAGGGGACUAUAAAUCAAAACAUUAGGGAUUAAAGUUGGGAGCUAAACUCCCCAGCAGAAGGACUUUUAUAUGGCUUCUUGCCAGCCAGGGGAAAGGUACCUGCUCAGCUGAGAUGCUGGAAGAGAGUUUAGCUAAAGCUGCUGGAAGGACUAUACCAAAGGAACUCUGCUCCAACAGAUACAGACCGGACUGUUUCUUGUUUGUCAUGGAAGAGAGGGAUGGAUGAAUUGUUCCAGUGUCCAUUAAAAUUUCUAUUGCCUGCUGUGUAGUGUCUUCUACGAAGGAGAUGAACCUGCUGCAAAUGAAAUCAGUUGAGGCUGCAUUGUAUUUAUAGAGCAACAGAAAUCUUUGUAGAUUAUUUUUUCCAAGAAUCAUGAAUCUCCUUCAGUGUUACAAGUCACUGUAAUCAAUUAAUAGGAGCCAUAUUUUCAUUUUCAAUUAAAAUACAGGCCAUGCACAGUCUAUGUGCAUCCUGGCAGAUGUUUAAAAGCGUUGGCUCUCAGAGGUGAAAUGUUACCUUAUAUCUGCAGGGGGUGGUGAGAGGGUGUUCCAGGAAUGGAAAGACAUGUUAAAGUGCAGCAUUUCAGACUGUCUUCUUUUCUAAAUUUACAGCAUCAGACUGGCAGUUGUAUAAAUGAAUGAUAGACUGCAAUACUCUUUUCCAAGCAGGCUAUGAAAUGAGGGAGCCUUCAGUUUUGUGCUGAUGUGUCCAGAAUUCAAAUAAUUUGUUUCUUGACUAUAAUGACAAUCGGAAGCAUGGUAUUACCUCGAGAAAAGAGAUGGGAGAGACAGCUGCAGUACCCUGUACUCAUGAAAGAUAUUGCAUUAGCAACUGCUUCCCAGUUAGUCUCUCUACUGAAAACUCUAUUAUGCUGGGCUCUUAUUGCUUUUAUUCAAGGGCACAAAACUAAAAAGUGAUAUUGCUGGCACUAUUCUCAUCUUUCUACCAUGACACUGAAUAAUUGGACAAUGAAAGAAAAUGUUGAAUGAUACUGAUAUUAAACACAUCUAUAGGACAAUG